CAAACAACAAGAGAGAGCGUUAAUGCCAGCUUGUUGCUUCCCGUGACUCCAUCUCCUAUCACCAAGCUUUGGAUCUUAUAUCAAAUAGCGUAUGGUCUAGUGCUUUGUUUGAAUGGAUUGAAGACUCGUCUUUUUUAUCAAGGUCGGGUUCGAGUUUUACCAUCGCAAUAAUCGUUGUGGUUUCUCUUAUGCCUUAAAUGGUAAGAAUACUCAGCAUGUUAGAUAAUGUUGAACCAAAACAAAAAAUUUAUAGUCUAGUGGUUUGUUUGAAUGGAUUGAAGACUCGCCUUGUUGAUCAAUUUCGUGUUCGAGUUUCACCAUCGCAAAAAUCGUUGUGGUUUCUUUUUUGGUUAAUAUAGAUGCUUCGGCUUUGUCUAGAUUUCGGUUAGACAAUUAUUGUUUUGUUAAUAAAUUUACCGCAAUCAUCAUAAAAAAAAUAUAACCGAGCACCAAAUCAAUCAAAGGAUAUUGUAUAUAUUGGAGUUGAAAUGUGAAAACAUAUUGUGGCAUAGUAGUAGAGAAUAUAUUCUCAUGGUUACAUUGGUUGCAGUGUGUAACAUGGGCAUAUCUAAUUUUUGGGAUGACAUUUAAUUUGUCUGCAAGAUCUGUAAUAAGUGUUGGUUUCGUGAGUCUGACAAAACUAGAACAGAAUCUCCACUAAUUGGACCAGAUCUGGAUCUUGCUCUUUGCUCUCUUCCCUUCCCGAGACGUGGCGUUGGACAAUUAUUGCAUUAAAUGAUAAGGAACCAAAAUCCAAAUGAGGAGCUGCAGUUUUUCAAAGUUACUC
RNAcentral lists this long non-coding RNA (787 nucleotides) under Arabidopsis lyrata. RNAcentral describes it as "long non-coding RNA (ALYR_LNC002811)". Lineage: Eukaryota; Viridiplantae; Streptophyta; Magnoliopsida; Brassicales; Brassicaceae. The record is from RNAcentral.